UACGUAGGGUGCAAGCGUUGUCCGGAAUUAUUGGGCGUAAAGAGCUCGUAGGCGGUCUGUCGCGUCGGCUGUGAAAACCCGGAGCUCAACUCCGGGCCUGCAGUCGAUACGGGCAAACUGGAGUACUGCAGGGGAGACUGGAAUUCCUGGUGUAGCGGUGGAAUGCGCAGAUAUCAGGAGGAACACCGGUGGCGAAGGCGGGUCUCUGGGCAGUAACUGACGCUGGAGGAGCGAAAGCGUGGGGAGCGAACAGG
This 254-nucleotide ribosomal RNA is filed under the name uncultured bacterium. RNAcentral describes it as "partial 16S ribosomal RNA". It matches the Rfam family "Bacterial small subunit ribosomal RNA", at positions 524 to 776 of the family's 1533-position model. The record is from RNAcentral.